AACGAACGCUGGCGGCAUGCCUAACACAUGCAAGUCGAACGAGACCUUCGGGAAUAGUGGCGCACGGGUGGUUAACGCGGGGGAAGCUGCCCUUAGGUACGCAAUACCUCACUGAAAGGGGUGUUAAGACCGGUUAAUGUCUUCUGAGCAAAGAUUUAUCGCCUCUGGAUGGGCCCGGGUUGGUUUAGCUGGUUGGGAGGGUAAAAGCGUGCCAAGGCCACGAUACAUACCUGGUCGGAUAGGAUGAUCCCCCCCACUGGUACUGAGACACGGCCCAGACGCCUACGUGUUGCUGCAGUGGAUAGUAUUGGAGAUUGUGCUAAAGCCUGAUCCAGCAAUGGCGCGUGUGUUGUCAUGCCCUUAGGGUUGUAAAGCUCUUUUGCCCGUGUUGAUAAUGACGGUACCGGGAAAAUAAGCUCCGGCUAACUCCGUG
This 433-nucleotide ribosomal RNA is filed under the name uncultured bacterium. RNAcentral describes it as "partial 16S ribosomal RNA". It matches the Rfam family "Bacterial small subunit ribosomal RNA", at positions 29 to 507 of the family's 1533-position model. The record is from RNAcentral.